Molecule: ribosomal RNA, 292 nt
Filed under: uncultured bacterium
Lineage: Bacteria
Description: partial 16S ribosomal RNA
Rfam family: Bacterial small subunit ribosomal RNA
Source: RNAcentral
AAACCCUACGGGGCGCAGCAGUCGAGAAUCAUUCACAAUGGGGGAAACCCUGAUGGUGCGACGCCGCGUGGGGGAAUGAAGGUCUUCGGAUUGUAAACCCCUGUCAUGUGGGAGCAAAUUAAAAAGAUAGUACCACAAGAGGAAGAGACGGCUAACUCUGUGCCAGCAGCCGCGGUAAAACAGAGGUCUCAAGCGUUGUUCGGAAUCACUGGGCGUAAAGCGUGCGUAGGCUGUUUCGUAAGUCGUGUGUGAAAGGCGCGGGCUCAACCCGCGGUCGGCACCUGCUACUGCG